This 468-nucleotide ribosomal RNA is filed under the name uncultured bacterium. Its description in RNAcentral is "bacterial SSU rRNA". It matches the Rfam family "Bacterial small subunit ribosomal RNA", at positions 329 to 794 of the family's 1533-position model. The record is from RNAcentral.
CCCCAGACUCCUACGGGAGGCAGCAGUGAGGAAUAUUGGUCAAUGGACGAGAGUCUGAACCAGCCAAGUAGCGUGAAGGAUGACUGCCCUAUGGGUUGUAAACUUCUUUUAUAAAGGAAUAAAACGAGGCACGUGUGCCUUUUUGCAUGUACUUUAUGAAUAAGGAUCGGCUAACUCCGUGCCAGCAGCCGCGGUAAUACGGAGGAUCCGAGCGUUAUCCGGAUUUAUUGGGUUUAAAGGGAGCGUAGAUGGGUUGUUAAGUCAGUUGUGAAAGUUUGCGGCUCAACCGUAAAAUUGCAAUUGAUACUGGCAGUCUUGAGUACAGUUGAGGUAGGCGGAAUUCGUGGUGUAGCGGUGAAAUGCUUAGAUAUAACUUGGAACUCCGAUAGCGAAGGCAGCUUACCAGACUGCGACUGACGCUGAAGCACGAGAGCGUGGGUAGCGAACAGGAUUAGAUACCCCCGUAGC